This 468-nucleotide ribosomal RNA is filed under the name uncultured bacterium. RNAcentral describes it as "partial 16S ribosomal RNA". It matches the Rfam family "Bacterial small subunit ribosomal RNA", at positions 28 to 507 of the family's 1533-position model. The record is from RNAcentral.
GACGAACGCUGGCGGCGUGCUUAACACAUGCAAGUCGAACGGAAAGGCCCUGCUUUUGUGGGGUGCUCGAGUGGCGAACGGGUGAGUAACACGUGAGUAACCUGCCCUUGACUUUGGGAUAACUUCAGGAAACUGGGGCUAAUACCGGAUAGGAGCUCCUGCUGCAUGGUGGGGGUUGGAAAGUUUCGGCGGUUGGGGAUGGACUCGCGGCUUAUCAGCUUGUUGGUGGGGUAGUGGCUUACCAAGGCGUUGACGGGUAGCCGGCCUGAGAGGGUGACCGGCCACACUGGGACUGAGAUACGGCCCAGACUCCUACGGGAGGCAGCAGUGGGGAAUAUUGCACAAUGGGCGGAAGCCUGAUGCAGCAACGCCGCGUGCGGGAUGACGGCCUUCGGGUUGUAAACCGCUUUCGCCUGUGACGAAGCGUGAGUGACGGUAAUGGGUAAAGAAGCACCGGCUAACUACGUG